RNAcentral lists this ribosomal RNA (510 nucleotides) under uncultured bacterium. RNAcentral describes it as "bacterial SSU rRNA". It matches the Rfam family "Bacterial small subunit ribosomal RNA", at positions 37 to 518 of the family's 1533-position model. The record is from RNAcentral.
UGGCGGCGUGCCUAAUACAUGCAAGUCGAACGGUCUUUCUAUGGAAGCUUGCUUCCACUGAGAAGAUAGUGGCGAACGGGUGAGUAACACGUGGGUAACCUGCCCAUAAGAGGGGGAGUAACAUCCGGAAACGGGUGCUAAUACCGCAUAGUUUUCUUGAUCGCAUGAUCGGGAAAGGAAAGACGGCCUUUGUGCUGUCGCUUAUGGAUGGACCCGCGGCGUAUUAGUUAGUUGGUGAGGUAACGGCUCACCAAGACGAUGAUACGUAGCCGACCUGAGAGGGUGAUCGGCCACAUUGGGACUGAGACACGGCCCAAACUCCUACGGGAGGCAGCAGUAGGGAAUCUUCCGCAAUGGACGAAAGUCUGACGGAGCAACGCCGCGUGAGUGAAGAAGGUUUUCGGGAAUCGUAAAACUCUGUUGUCAGAGAAGAACAAGUUGGAGAGUAACUGCUCCAGCCUUGACGGUAUCUGACCAGAAAGCCACGGCUAACUACGUGCCAGCAGCAGC